UACGUAGGGUGCAAGCGUUGUCCGGAAUUAUUGGGCGUAAAGAGCUCGUAGGCGGUCUGUCGCGUCUGCUGUGAAAACUCAGGGCUUAACCCUGAGCUUGCAGUGGGUACGGGCAGACUAGAGUGCGGUAGGGGAGACUGGAAUUCCUGGUGUAGCGGUGAAAUGCGCAGAUAUCAGGAGGAACACCGGUGGCGAAGGCGGGGUCUCU
Molecule: ribosomal RNA, 208 nt
Filed under: uncultured bacterium
Lineage: Bacteria
Description: partial 16S ribosomal RNA
Rfam family: Bacterial small subunit ribosomal RNA
Source: RNAcentral